UAUCUAGCAAUCCUGAUGAUGUCGCAAUCGUGGGAAAGAUUUGGUCCACUAAAUUUCCCCCACCCAUAUCAUCGUCUUCUAUGGAUGGCU
RNAcentral lists this microRNA precursor (90 nucleotides) under Triops cancriformis. RNAcentral describes it as "microRNA tcf-mir-10325 precursor". The record is from miRBase by way of RNAcentral. Lineage: Eukaryota; Metazoa; Arthropoda; Branchiopoda; Notostraca; Triopsidae.